AGUAAAAUGCCUGAAAUUAAAGGAUUAUCUUGAUAGGAUAAAUUAUGUAAGUAUAUACUUUUACUA
This 66-nucleotide transfer RNA is filed under the name Haemaphysalis bancrofti. RNAcentral's name for it is "tRNA-Ile". The record is from RNAcentral. Lineage: Eukaryota; Metazoa; Arthropoda; Arachnida; Ixodida; Ixodidae.